UUAGCCGAAGGGCGAAGCCGAUGGGAAACAGGUUAAUAUUCCUGUACAUGUAUCAGCUGUGAUGGGGUGACGAAGGAGCGUAAGGUUCGCCCACUGACGGAAUAGUGGGUUGAAGGGAGAAGGCGUUGAAGAUAUAGGCAAAUCCGUAUCUGAGCUGAGACCUGAUAGUACACAAGUCCCUUGGGAUGAGUGAUAGUGACUGUAAGCAUACUUCCAAGAAAAACCUCUAAACUUCAGGCUGACACAUCCCGUACCGUAAACCGACACAGGUAGUCGAGGAGAGUAUCCUAAGGCGCUCGAGUGAUCCGUGGCUAAGGAACUAGGCAAAAUGGUCUCGUAACUUCGGGAGAAGAGACUCCCCUCGUGAGAGGGGACGCAGUGAAGAGGCCCAGGCGACUGUUUAACAAAAACACAGGACUCUGCAAAAUCGUAAGAUGAAGUAUAGGGUCUGACACCUGCCCGGUGCUGGAAGGUUAAGGAAGGGGGUUAGUGCGCAAGUGCGAAGCUCUUAACUGAAGCCCCAGUAGACGGCGGCCGUAACGAUAACGGUCCUAAGGUAGCGAAAUUCCUUGUCGGGUAAGUUCCGACCUGCACGAAUGGUGUAACGAUCUGGGCGCUGUCUCAGCCACGAGCUCGGUGAAAUUGAAGUAUCGGUGAAGAUGCCGAUUACCCGCAACGGGACGGAAAGACCCCGUGAACCUUUACUACAACCUCACAUUGAGCUUGAAUACAGGAUGUGUAGGAUAGGUGGGAGGCUACGAAGCUGUGACGCUAGUCAUGGUGGAGCCAACGUUGAAAUACCACCCUUCCUGUAUUUAGGUUCUAAUCCCUAAAAGGGAAACAGUGUGUGGUGGGUAGUUUGACUGGGGUGGUCGCCUCCAAAAAAGUAACGGAGGCUCGCAAAGGUACACUCAGCAUGGUCGGUAAUCAUGCGAAGAGCGUAUUAGUAUAAGUGUGCUUGACUGAGAGACCGACGGGUCGAUCAGGAACGAAAGUUGGCUAAAGUGAUCCGGUGUUUCCGCAUGGAAGGGACAUCGCUCAAAGGAUAAAAGGUACUCCGGGAUAACAGGCUGAUCCUACCCAAGAGCUCAUAUCGACGGUAGGGUUUGGCACCUCGAUGUCGGCUCGUCACAUCCUGGGGCUGGAGAAGGUCCCAAGGGUUGGGCUGUUCGCCCAUUAAAGUGGCACGCGAGCUGGGUUCAGAACGUCGCAAGACAGUUCGGUCCCUAUCAGUUGUGGGCGCAGGAAUAUUGAAGGGAGCUGAUUCUAGUACGAGAGGACCGAAUUGGACGUACCGCUAGUGUACCGGUUGUGGCGCCAGCUGCACCGCCGGGUAGCUAUGUACGGCAAGGAUAAGCGCUGAAAGCAUCUAAGCGCGAAGCCAUCCCUAAGAUGAGUAUUCCAGCACGUAAGUGUAAAGGACCCCAGAAGACUACUGGGUUGAUAGGUUAUAGGUGGAAGUGCAGUAAUGUGCGUAGCCGAGUAAUACUAAUUGUCCGACAGCUUCCUC
RNAcentral lists this ribosomal RNA (1510 nucleotides) under metagenome. RNAcentral's name for it is "bacterial LSU rRNA". It matches the Rfam family "Bacterial large subunit ribosomal RNA", at positions 1398 to 2925 of the family's 2925-position model. The record is from RNAcentral.